This 449-nucleotide ribosomal RNA is filed under the name uncultured organism. RNAcentral's name for it is "partial 16S ribosomal RNA". It matches the Rfam family "Bacterial small subunit ribosomal RNA", at positions 331 to 797 of the family's 1533-position model. The record is from RNAcentral.
GUACACUCCUACGGGAGGCAGCAGUGGGGAAUAUUGGACAAUGGGCGCAAGCCUGAUCCAGCCAUGCCGCGUGAGUGAUGAAGGCCCUAGGGUUGUAAAGCUCUUUCACCGGUGAAGAUAAUGACGGUAACCGGAGAAGAAGCCCCGGCUAACUUCGUGCCAGCAGCCGCGGUAAUACGAAGGGGGCUAGCGUUGUUCGGAUUUACUGGGCGUAAAGCGCACGUAGGCGGACUAUCAAGUCAGGGGUGAAAUCCCGGGGCUCAAUCCCGGAACUGCCUUUGAUACUGGUAGUCUUGAGUUCGAGAGAGGUGAGUGGAAUUCCGAGUGUAGAGGUGAAAUUCGUAGAUAUUCGGAGGAACACCAGUGGCGAAGGCGGCUCACUGGCUCGAUACUGACGCUGAGGUGCGAAAGCGUGGGGAGCAAACAGGAUUAGAUACCCGGGUAGUCCC